Podarcis lilfordi (Lilford's wall lizard) is the source of this 153-nucleotide non-coding RNA. The record is from the annotation of a GenBank genome assembly. Lineage: Eukaryota; Metazoa; Chordata; Lepidosauria; Squamata; Lacertidae.
GCAUAUGCCAGUGAUGGCCAAACUCGGCCCUCCAGAUGUUUGGGGACUACAAGUCCCAUCAUCCCUGACCACUGGUCCUUGUCAGCUAGGAAUCAUGGGAGUUGUAGUCCCAAAACAGCUGGAGGGCCAAGUUUGGCCAUCACUGGCAUAUGC